UUGGAGGGCAAGUCUGGUGCCAGCAGCCGCGGUAAUUCCAGCUCCAAUAGCGUAUAUUAAAGUUGUUGCAGUUAAAAAGCUCGUAGUUGAAUUUCGGGAUUAGUACGUCGGUCGUGCCUUCGGUACGUACUGGUGUUACUGAUUCCUACCUUCUGACGAACCAUCAUGUCAUUAAUUUGGUGUGGCGGGGAAUCAGGACUGUUACUUUGAAAAAAUUAGAGUGUUUAAAGCAGGCUCGCGCUUGAAUACAUUAGCAUGGAAUAAUGAAAUAGGACGUUGACCCUAUUUUGUUGGUUUCUAGGAUUGACGUAAUGAUUAAUAGGGAUAGUUGGGGGCAUUAGUAUUCAAUUGUCAGAGGUGAAAUUCUUGGAUUUAUUGAAGACUAACUACUGCGAAAGCAUUUGCCAAGGAUGUUUUCAUUAAUCAAGAACGAAAGUUAGGGGAUCGAAGACGAUCAGAUACCGUCGUAGUCUUAACCAUAAACUAUGCCGACUAGGGAUCGGAUGAUGUUAUUUUUAAUGACUCAUUCGGCGCCUUACGGGAAAC
This 546-nucleotide ribosomal RNA is filed under the name uncultured Glomeromycotina. Its description in RNAcentral is "SSU rRNA". It matches the Rfam family "Eukaryotic small subunit ribosomal RNA", at positions 548 to 1098 of the family's 1831-position model. The record is from RNAcentral. Lineage: Eukaryota; Fungi; Glomeromycota.